AAGAGUGAUGUGAAUGACAAACCUAAUUUCUUGUCGCCGUUCAUCUUCCACCUCUCUCAUACAUCUCUUUACUGCCACCGAUUGCAGCUCAUCUCCCGCCGGCGUCGCCGCUGCAAACAAUGUCAUUGUUGCUGCCUUCAACAAGCUCUGCGAUCUGGUUGCGCCUUCUCUGUCACUUCCAAUAGUAGGAAAAAAUAGAGAAUGCUUGCUCACUGAGUCGCGCCAGUAAAUCAGAUCUACCAAAAUGUUCGACGGCAUCUUUGGUCAGAGAUUCAUCGCGAAAUGGGAAAAAACUACUCACAAUGGAGAAGAAAGGGUCUCGCAGAUGGAUGAGCGGCGGUAGCAACAGGUUGGGCCUUGACAUUCUCAGUUGGGAAUUCUCCAAUCUAGCAGAAAAACUUACUUCAUGUGAUGUGGUAUCAAAGCGCGAACACUUCUAUCAGUGAUCUUAGCAACAACCACAUUGGAGGGCCCAUUCCAUUCACUUUGCCCCCUACUCUUACGAGCUUGUCUUGUUGCCCUUGAUAGUGAACCAUUUAAUGGCACAGUCUUUGUGAGCAAGAGCAAGUUCACCUUUGCAGCUGCAUUCCAUCUUCAGUGUCUCCCCUCUUUGAAGGAAGUAUAUAUCUCAUUUUUUAUCAUAGUAAAUUCAAACAACAAUUCCUUUUUAUUUUCUGUUAAAGGAUCAAAGCCAUACUGGUGGUAGGCAUUAUAACCUUAGGCAUACUAGACCCAAAAGAAAAUGCCUUAGCUAGUAAUUAUAACUAGAAAAAUUCUCUCAUGUCUUUAAAAUGUGUGUCGAAAUUGUCUAAAAGUGGCUAAUCAAUACUGUUGGGUUUACUUUUUAAGGUGGGAUCUAUUUUUUGUAUUUGUGUUAGGCAUGGCAGUAAUAGCUAGACACCUUAAAAUAUACCUUAUAUUUAUCUAUAUUUGUAAUAAGAUAAAAAAGAUAACUAGAAGUCUAUAUAUAACCUCAAAGGUGCAACUCCCCAAGGGUGCCAAUGCAAUAACAAUCAGAAAAUUAUUGAUUUAAAAUGGAAAGUAUUUGAGAUAAUCCUUGUCCAUAAUUAUUACAUUUUUAUUUUGAUUAUGAAACUUAGGUGGAUUUGCCAUUUAACUUGUCUACAUUGUUGGUAUAGAAAAAAAGUUAAUAUUACUUUUAAUCUAUUAUUUAAGACUUUCAAGUUUAGUUUUGUUCACUAUGUACCAAAAUAAAUAUACACAUAUACAGCCACGAUAUAUUUCUUUUGAGUUUUGAGAUUAGUUUUAAAAGGGAAAUAUAUCUUCUUAUUAAAGAAAUUUAUAUAGCAUGGAAAAAUGGUAAUCAUUUGCCAUUAAUAUUCUUUUGAAUUAUGUUAUAUAUUUGGGUCUGGCCACUUUAGUUGAUGAUAUAUAUAUAUAUCACAUGUGAACAUGUUCUAGCUAGCUAAUAAUACCGUGACUGUGCAUUGAUUAGAAAGUUUGGCUUUGUCAUGACUCUAGAUUCAUUAUUGAACUUUCAGUUAUAGAAAUCAGUUAUAUGUUUAUUAGUAUCCAUCAGUUGUAGAUCAUUUGCUGCUUCCAAAGUUUUUGUCAUUACUAACCUUUUUAGCUAAUUUAUUAUAAUUUUUUUGGAUGCUGAGAAUGUGAUCAAAUUAAUAACAAGUAUUAGAAUGCAUUGUUACUGUUAUAAACAAAUUAAAGUUGGUUAAAUUUCACUCAUUUAACUUUUUAAAAAUUGAGUUGUUUUGAAGCUGUGAUUCUCAGCUAUUUUGAGGUGUUAUAAACAAAUUAAAGUUGGUUAAAAUUUCACUCAAUUCACGUGGAAUUUUUUGUUUGAAAAGAAAUGAUAAACAGAUGACAGAUUUUAAAAGAAUGUCAAUUGGAUGGUGCUUAAUUUGAUUUUGAAUUUGCAGGAGCCUGUUUCCCAUGUUGUGGCUUGUCCCUCACCAAAUGAUAUUCUUGAGUGGCGUAAGCUUAUUUUAUAAUGUUAACUCUUUGCAAUCUUUUUUUUCCUUUUUGUCUGGGCAUUGAUUUUGAAAACUCAGAUUAUGUGUUGGAGGGAAUUGAAGGAAAGCCUUUUGCAGGUUUGUUAAUAUAGCAAUAGUUGAACAUUAGUAUCUCAAAUAUUUUAGUACUUUUUGUCUUUUGUCAUUUGAAAUAUUCCAAUCUAUGAACUCAUUAGCAUUUGAAUAUAAACAUGAUAAUAUCACCCGAUCCCACUAGGGAUACAAGACUUAGUUGUUGCCAAAUUGCCAUAUUGGGAAUUCAUGUAUCAAUGCUGUGGUAUUUACAGUUUUUUUUCCGUUGUCCUAUUUUUAAGUGGAUAUUACCAUGGAAAGAUCAAAUUUCUUCCAGAUUAUCCAUUCAAACUACCUGGAAUCAGGUGAUGCUUCUUGCUGCUGUACUAUUAUUUUAUUAGUGUUCAUUUCAGUUAUGUGGUUUAUUAUUAUAUUACCUAAGCAUAUGCUUUUGGUCAUAUAUAGCAUGAUUACACAUAAUGGACGGUUCAUAACAGAAAAAAAUAUCUACUAUUCUAUAUAUGACUAUAAGUUCUUUUGGUUUUAUCCAUUAGCAUAAAAUCAACUAGUACUGAGUUAUCCAUUUUGUUUCAAUUUUAUUUUUGCGGGCUUUUGUUGCUUUUGCAGUUUGUCCUGAAAGAUGGAGUCCUAUGUGUUGGGUAUCACGUGAAACAUUCAGAAAAAUGUCCUAGAGUAAUGUCAUGAGUAAUUCAGAAAAAUGUCCCAAGACACAUCGGCAGCUGCAAAUUUCUCCCGAGUCAAGUCGGCAGCAGCUGCAAAUUGGUAGUAUCUUCAUAUGGAAUUGAAUCAAGAGAGUGAGAUUUUAUCACCAAAAGACUUAGGAAGUAGGUCAUCUGGAGCAAGCAACAGCGCAGCAUGAAAUAUGAUGGAGAUUUUAUGUAUUAAGAGUUACAUGUUAUGACAUUUAUAGUUGAAAAAUUAUGUUAUGUUUGAUACUUUGUAUAAGAGUUAUUACUUUUGAUUUCCAAUACUAAAAAAUCAUAUAUUAUGUUUAAUACUUUGUUUAUGAGUUAUAUAAUAUUUUGUUUA
Non-coding RNA from Arachis ipaensis, 3050 nucleotides. The record is from RefSeq and is a predicted model, not a curated record. Lineage: Eukaryota; Viridiplantae; Streptophyta; Magnoliopsida; Fabales; Fabaceae.